AGGGCAAGUCUGGUGCCAGCAGCCGCGGUAAUUCCAGCUCCAAUAGCGCAUAUUAAAGUUGUUGCAGUUAAAAAGCUCGUAGUUGAAUUUCGGGGUCAGCAGGUCGGUCGUGCCAAUGGUAUGCACUGGCCUUGCUGAUUCCUCCCUCUUGAUGAGCCGUAAUGCCAUUAAUUUGGUGUUGCGGGGAAUCAGGACUGUUACUUUGAAAAAAUUAGAGUGUUUAAAGCAGGCAAGCGCUUGAAUACAUUAGCAUGGAAUAAUGAAAUAGGACGUUUGAUCCUAUUUUGUUGGUUUCUAGGAUUGACGUAAUGAUUAAUAGGGAUAGUUGGGGGCAUUAGUAUUCAAUUGUCAGAGGUGAAAUUCUUGGAUUUAUUGAAGACUAACUACUGCGAAAGCAUUUGCCAAGGAUGUUUUCAUUAAUCAAGAACGAAAGUUAGGGGAUCGAAGACGAUCAGAUACCGUCGUAGUCUUAACCAUAAACUAUGCCGACUAGGGAUCGGAUGAUGUUAAUUUUUUAAUGACUCAUUCGGCGCCUUACGGGAA
Molecule: ribosomal RNA, 543 nt
Filed under: uncultured Glomeromycotina
Lineage: Eukaryota; Fungi; Glomeromycota
Description: SSU rRNA
Rfam family: Eukaryotic small subunit ribosomal RNA
Source: RNAcentral